RNAcentral lists this ribosomal RNA (253 nucleotides) under uncultured bacterium. Its description in RNAcentral is "partial 16S ribosomal RNA". It matches the Rfam family "Bacterial small subunit ribosomal RNA", at positions 524 to 776 of the family's 1533-position model. The record is from RNAcentral.
GACGUAGGGGGCCAGCGUUGCUCGGAAUUACUGGGUGUAAAGGGUUCGUAGGCGGUGCGGCAAGUUGGGAGUGAAAUCUCUGGGCUUAACCCAGAGGCUGCUUCCAAAACUGCUGUGCUCGAGUGUGGGAGAGGCGCGUGGAAUUGCAGGUGUAGCGGUGAAAUGCGUAGAUAUCUGCAGGAACACCCGUGGCGAAGGCGGCCAACUGGACGAAUACUGACGCUGAGACACGAAAGCGUGGGGAGCAAACAGG